AGCGCGGGGGCAACCCUGGCGGCGAGCGGCGAACGGGUGAGUAAUGCAUCGGAACGUGUCCUCUUGUGGGGGAUAACCAGUCGAAAGACUGGCUAAUACCGCAUACGCUCUACGGAGGAAAGCGGGGGUCGCAAGACCUCGCACUAUAGGAGUGGCCGAUAUCGGAUUAGCUAGUUGGCGGGGUAAAAGCCCACCAAGGCAACGAUCCGUAGCUGGUCUGAGAGGAUGAUCAGCCACACUGGAACUGAGACACGGUCCAGACUCCUACGGGAGGCAGCAGUGGGGAAUUUUGGACAAUGGGCGCAAGCCUGAUCCAGCCAUGCCGCGUGAGUGAAGAAGGCCUUCGGGUUGUAAAGCUCUUUCGGCAGGAACGAAAUGGUUCGUGCUAAUACCACGGAUCGAUGACGGUACCUGAAGAAGAAGCACCGGCUAACUACGUGCCAGCAGCCGCGGUAAUACGUAGGGUGCAGGCGUUAAUCGGAAUUACUGGGCGUAAAGCGUGCGCAGGCGGUUUCUUAAGUCAGAUGUGAAAGCCCCGGGCUUAACCUGGGAACUGCGUUUGAAACUGGGAGACUAGAGUGUGGCAGAGGGGGGUGGAAUUCCACGUGUAGCAGUGAAAUGCGUAGAUAUGUGGAGGAACACCGAUGG
Molecule: ribosomal RNA, 648 nt
Filed under: uncultured Pseudomonadota bacterium
Lineage: Bacteria; Pseudomonadati; Pseudomonadota
Description: bacterial SSU rRNA
Rfam family: Bacterial small subunit ribosomal RNA
Source: RNAcentral